This 601-nucleotide ribosomal RNA is filed under the name Thinopyrum elongatum. RNAcentral's name for it is "eukaryotic LSU rRNA". The stretch from base 227 to 382 matches the Rfam family "5.8S ribosomal RNA". The record is from RNAcentral. Lineage: Eukaryota; Viridiplantae; Streptophyta; Magnoliopsida; Poales; Poaceae.
UCGUGACCCUGACCAAAACAGACCGCGCACGCGUCAUCCAAUCCGUCGGCGACGGCAUCGUCUGUCGCUCGACCAAUGCCCCGACCACCUCCCCUCCUUGGAGUGGGUGGGGGCUCGGGGUAAAAGAACCCACGGCGCCGAAGGCGUCAAGGAACACUGUGCCUAACCCGGGGGCAUGGCUAGCUUGCUAGCCGUCCCUCGUGUUGCAAAGCUAUUUAAUCCACACGACUCUCGGCAACGGAUAUCUCGGCUCUCGCAUCGAUGAAGAACGUAGCGAAAUGCGAUACCUGGUGUGAAUUGCAGAAUCCCGCGAACCAUCGAGUCUUUGAACGCAAGUUGCGCCCGAGGCCACUCGGCCGAGGGCACGCCUGCCUGGGCGUCACGCCAAAACACGCUCCCAAACCCCUCAUCGGGAAUCGGGAUGCGGCAUCUGGUCCCUCGUCUCGCAAGGGGCGGUGGACCGAAGAUCGGGCUGCCGGCGUACCGCGUCGGACACAGCGCAUGGUGGGCGUCCUCGCUUUAUCAACGCAGUGCAUCCGACGCGCAGCCGGCAUGAUGGCCUCAAAACGACCCAGCAAACGAAGCGCACGUCGCUUCGACC